GUUAUUGUAGCUUAAUACUUAAAGCAUGGCACUGAAAAUGCCAAAAUGGAACUUAACCCAAUCAACA
RNAcentral lists this transfer RNA (67 nucleotides) under Tropidophis haetianus (Haitian dwarf boa). RNAcentral's name for it is "tRNA-Phe". It matches the Rfam family "tRNA". From Rfam's summary of the family: Transfer RNA (tRNA) molecules are approximately 80 nucleotides in length. Lineage: Eukaryota; Metazoa; Chordata; Lepidosauria; Squamata; Tropidophiidae. The record is from RNAcentral.